Molecule: non-coding RNA, 23 nt
Filed under: Arabidopsis thaliana (thale cress)
Lineage: Eukaryota; Viridiplantae; Streptophyta; Magnoliopsida; Brassicales; Brassicaceae
Source: RNAcentral
UCAUCUCGAGAACCAUCCGUGAG